This 253-nucleotide ribosomal RNA is filed under the name uncultured bacterium. RNAcentral's name for it is "partial 16S ribosomal RNA". It matches the Rfam family "Bacterial small subunit ribosomal RNA", at positions 524 to 776 of the family's 1533-position model. The record is from RNAcentral.
GACGAACCGUGCGAACGUUGUUCGGAAUCACUGGGCUUAAAGGGCGCGUAGGCGGGCAGUCCAGUCCGGGGUGAAAUCUUUCGGCUUAACCGGAAAAGGGCCUUGGAUACUGACUGUCUGGAGGGAGGUAGGGGCAUGCGGAACUUCCGGUGGAGCGGUGAAAUGCGUUGAUAUCGGAAGGAACGCCGGUGGCGAAAGCGGCGUGCUGGACCUCUUCUGACGCUGAGGCGCGAAAGCCAGGGGAGCGAACGGG